RNAcentral lists this unclassified non-coding RNA (334 nucleotides) under soil metagenome. RNAcentral's name for it is "partial contains 5.8S ribosomal RNA, internal transcribed spacer 2, and large subunit ribosomal RNA". The stretch from base 1 to 120 matches the Rfam family "5.8S ribosomal RNA", at positions 35 to 154 of the family's 154-position model. The record is from RNAcentral.
GAUGAAGAACGUAGCGAAAUGCGAUAAGUAAUGUGAAUUGCAGAAUUCAGUGAAUCAUCGAAUCUUUGAACGCACAUUGCGCCCGCCAGUAUUCUGGCGGGCAUGCCUGUUCGAGCGUCAUUUCAACCAUCAAGCCCCAGGCUUGUGUUGGAGCCCUACGGCUGCCGCAGCCUCCCAAAACCAGUGGCGGGCUCGCUAUCACGCCGAGUGCAGUAGUUUACUCUUCGCUCAGGGCGUGUGGCGGGUGCUAGCCGUAAAACCCCCAACUUCUCAAGGUUGACCUCGGAUCAGGUAGGAAUACCCGCUGAACUUAAGCAUAUCAAUAAGCGGAGGA